RNAcentral lists this ribosomal RNA (270 nucleotides) under unidentified soil organism R6-110. RNAcentral's name for it is "partial 16S ribosomal RNA". It matches the Rfam family "Eukaryotic small subunit ribosomal RNA", at positions 564 to 832 of the family's 1831-position model. The record is from RNAcentral.
GUGCCAGCAGCCGCGGUAAUUCCAGCUCCAAUAGCGUAUACUAAAGUUGUUGCGGUUAAAAAGCUCGUAGUUGGAUGUCAGUUGCGGGCGGGCGGUCCACCGUUUUGGUGGUUUACUGCUCGNCCCGNGAACUACCAACCGGNCUCCCCCGCUAUGCUCUUUACCCANUGUGGNGGGUGGNCGGAACUUUUACUUUGAAAAAAUUAGAGUGNUCUAAGNAGGUGNAUGNCGCCUGAAUAACACAGNAUNGAAUAAUGGAAUAGGACNCGG